Long non-coding RNA from Trifolium pratense (red clover), 783 nucleotides. RefSeq lists it as uncharacterized. The record is from RefSeq and is a predicted model, not a curated record. The transcript has 2 exons. Lineage: Eukaryota; Viridiplantae; Streptophyta; Magnoliopsida; Fabales; Fabaceae.
CGAACGAGUAAGCGUGGAGGAAUGUUCAUUGAGAAGAGGACACGGCCAGGCUCAAUGAGAUGGAGGCAUAGGCCACGCAAGAUUAGAUGAUCAAGAAACCCUCGAGUUUGCAGGCCUGAUCAGCCGCGGCAGGGUGCGGAGCCGGCCGGAAUGUGCCCUCAAUCUCUUUCUGACACAGGGCUGAGCGCUCUAGAAGCGAAACAAUGACCCUGCACCAAAAAAUUAAGUGAUAUCUGGGGUGCUACUAAAAGGACGCAACAAGAAGGUUUUUUAGAACAGAGAUGGAUUAGCAGAAGAUUUGUUAGAAGAAUGAAAAUUCUGUCAUGAAAAUUGUUAAAAAGCAAGGUGAACAGCUUCAGUUUCUCUGUCAUCCAAUGGAUUUCGAUUUUACAUCGAUUCUUAUGUCUAGGUUUUGUUGGUUGAUGAUUCUACAAUGCUUCGGUUGGUAGUAAAUCUGGGAGGUUGGGGAGAGGCUGUAGCAGAAAAGUUGAUUGCUGCUAACCUUGGUAAUGGGGCAAUAUUGGUCCUGUGACUUUCAAAGUGAUUAGCUUGUACUUUGUAAUUUACUGUGUAACUUAAUUUUAAACCAUUAUUAUAUAAAUUGUGACAAGCUUAUAUGCCAGGGAAGGUGAGCUACUGUAAUUAAAAUUCAGGUGUAGUUGAAGUGAUUUAGGGAAUGUAUUUUAUCAAGGGUUGCUUUGCUGUUAUGUAAGAAUGUUAUGUAGUAACCUUUAACUUUGUAUGGCAUAUCUUAGGCAACUUUGAUGAAUAAAUUAAAUCUGA